This 107-nucleotide small nuclear RNA is filed under the name Propithecus coquereli (Coquerel's sifaka). The record is from RNAcentral. Lineage: Eukaryota; Metazoa; Chordata; Mammalia; Primates; Indriidae.
AUGCUUGCUUUGGCAGCACAAGUACUCAAAUUAAAAUGAUAAUGCAUAGAUUAACAUGGCCACUACACAAGAAUGACACAUAAAUUUGUGGUGUGCUGUAUGAAAAA